Molecule: ribosomal RNA, 441 nt
Filed under: uncultured Prevotella sp.
Lineage: Bacteria; Pseudomonadati; Bacteroidota; Bacteroidia; Bacteroidales; Prevotellaceae
Description: bacterial SSU rRNA
Rfam family: Bacterial small subunit ribosomal RNA
Source: RNAcentral
UGAGGAAUAUUGGUCAAUGGGCGAGAGCCUGAACCAGCCAAGUAGCGUGCAGGAUGACGGCCCUAUGGGUUGUAAACUGCUUUUAUAAGGGAAUAAAGUGAGAGUCGUGACUCUUUUGCAUGUACCUUAUGAAUAAGGACCGGCUAAUUCCGUGCCAGCAGCCGCGGUAAUACGGAAGGUCCGGGCGUUAUCCGGAUUUAUUGGGUUUAAAGGGAGCGUAGGCCGCAGGUUAAGCGUGUUGUGAAAUGUAGGGGCUCAACCUCUGCACUGCAGCGCGAACUGGCUUGCUUGAGUACGCACAACGUGGGCGGAAUUCGUGGUGUAGCGGUGAAAUGCUUAGAUAUCACGAAGAACUCCGAUUGCGAAGGCAGCUCACGGGAGCGCAACUGACGCUGAAGCUCGAAAGUGCGGGUAUCGAACAGGAUUAGAUACCCUGGUAGU